GACGAACGCGGCGGCGUGCCUAAUACAUGCAAGUAGAACGCUGAAGAGAGGAGCUUGCUCUUCUUGGAUGAGUUGCGAACGGGUGAGUAACGCGUAGGUAACCUGCCUGGUAGCGGGGGAUAACUAUUGGAAACGAUAGCUAGUACCGCAUGACAUUGAUUAUCGCAUGAUAAUUAAUUGAAAGAUGCAAUUGCAUCACUACCAGAUGGACCUGCGUUGUAUUAGCUAGUUGGUGAGGUAACGGCUCACCAAGGCGACGAUACAUAGCCGACCUGAGAGGGUGAUCGGCCACACUGGGACUGAGACACGGCCCAGACUCCUAUGGGAAGCAGCAGUAGGGAAUCUUCGGCAAUGGGGGGAACCCUGACCGAGCAACGCCGCGUGAGUGAAGAAGGUUUUCGGAUCGUAAAGCUCUGUUGUAAGAGAAGAACGGGUGUGAGAGUGGAAAGUUCACACUGUGACGAUCUACCAGAAAGGACGCA
RNAcentral lists this ribosomal RNA (482 nucleotides) under Streptococcus sanguinis. Its description in RNAcentral is "bacterial SSU rRNA". It matches the Rfam family "Bacterial small subunit ribosomal RNA", at positions 28 to 496 of the family's 1533-position model. Lineage: Bacteria; Bacillati; Bacillota; Bacilli; Lactobacillales; Streptococcaceae. The record is from RNAcentral.